UUACUGUAGUAAACUUCAGACCUCAUUUACCUUUUAAACAGGGCAGUUUUCAUUGAUCUACCACCUCAGUUACCACUUAACCAGGAGAGACUUACCCCAGACAUCGUUUGGCUUAGCUCGUGGCACUGUGAGCACCAGUGCUCGCGAUGACCACCGUUUUGGCAUGCAAUGGCCGCGCCCAGAAUGGCUUCUUGCUCGGGCCCCUUCUCUGCUCAGCAUCUCAGCAAGCACGCGCAUGUCCAAUAGCUAGCCCGCGUUGUCGCCAUUCUGCUAGAGCCUUCUUCCCCUCCGUCAGCCCCUCCGUCAGCUCUCGUCGCCGCGCGCCCACAGACGCACUAUGGCCGACCGAAGCAUUUAUGGAGCCGUGGCUGUUUCCCCUCUUGUCCCCGAGCUCUGCUCGUCCGUAUGCACUUCUGUAGCUCGUCCGCUCCCCCUUCGUCGCGAUCCCGCACCUCCCCAUGAUUGCUGCGCAUCGCCGGAGUCUUGGCCGAGCUCGUGCGGCGGUGACCGGCUCGGGCACCUCGCCCCGCCUAUAAAUGGCCAGCCCCGAGCCUUCCCGAGCACCUCAGCCUCCUCGCCUCUCUACCAGUAGCGCCCCCGUCCACUCAAACAAGCUCGAGGAUGCCUCGAGCCCUCCAUUGGCCGCCAUGGCCGCUGCGGCACUCCGCUUAAAUUCGGCCUAACCGAGUCCUCCCUCUCUUUUUGGUCGUCACCACUAGCCUCCCCACUCUAGCGCAGCCCUCCCUAGCUUCUCGUUUCCUCGCCGGAGCCCGUGUGGCCGCGACCCCAAGAUCAGCCUCGCCGCCCGAGCUCUCUGUUCCGUGACUCGCCGUCGCCCCGUACCCUCUUCGGCGCUGAUUCUGCUCCAGGCGGGAGCGGCGAACUGUCCCGAGUCCACCGGUGGCCGGAUCUCGGCCGGAGACCACCGGAGCUGGCCGGGCCAUCGCCGGUGUCGCCCCUCCCCUGCUCCUCUGUUCUUCGCGUCGGGGAAGAAGAAGAAGGAGCCAGGAGAGGGAGAUGGAUAAGGCGGGCCCCCCCGUCAGCUGCUCAAGCCGGGCCCCGCCACGCUGACCUGGAUAAGUGACGGGCCCCACACGUGGGACCCCCACGUCAGCUGCUCAAGCCCCUGCCCCGCCUCUGCCACGUGUUUAAGUGGAGGCGUAAAACAGUCCACCCAAAAUGUGUUUUCUUAAACAGAAAGCGUAUUUCCAAGUUUGCGCUUCUGCCUUAUCCACUCAGGGACUUGUUUGUGAUGAUAUUUUUGCAGAAAAGUCCCUGAACUUCAAACCUUCAUAUCUUUUUAACCACAACUCCAAAUGAGCCCCUUCGGGAGAGAACUGUUUCUAGCAAAUCUUUUCGCGGCUUCACCGCACUUCUUCCUGGUGCCUUCUUCACCCCCAGGCAAGCCACAAUACCCACUUGCAUGAUAGUCAUGCAGUAGCCAUGGUUUUCAACUUGAAUAUUUAUUAAAUGAUUUCUUGUUUAAAAUAUGGUUAUCGUUAUUUCGGAAAUGCUUCUGGGAUUGUGCUUACUUGUUUGCUAUGUUGUUAUGCACCUGGUUAUCAUUCUCUGCUAGUGGCUUUGCUACUAUUACUUUCAUAUUGCCGUGCUUGAUAGUAGUACAUGUUGGGUUGGUCAUGCUCUUCGGUGCAUGACUAACGUCGGUUACCGAGUAGUGUUAAUAGGCAUUGUUCCGUUGCUAUUAGUUGGUUAAGUGUUACUCGGUGAUGUUAUUGAUAAGUUCUUGCAUGUUAUUUAUGGUUGAUGCUAGUGGUCAUGUUAUGUUAUACUAUGAGUAGUGUUGCACUUGUAAUAUUUAUGCUCGUCAUUAUGCCAUGUUCAGUUGGAGAUUAUUUCAUAGUUGAUGUGGUGGAUAGUUAUGUUGCAUCCCGUGAUUAUGUUGAUAUCAUGCUCAUGCAUUGUAAUUGCAUCAUGUUAUUUUAUCAUGGCUCAGCAUUUUGCAUUCAAGUUUAACCAGAUUUAAUUGAACUUGAACAACUGUUGGCUGAGUCAUGGUGCCG
Non-coding RNA from Triticum urartu, 2021 nucleotides. The record is from RefSeq and is a predicted model, not a curated record. Lineage: Eukaryota; Viridiplantae; Streptophyta; Magnoliopsida; Poales; Poaceae.